AUGCCGCGCGACCUGUCAAGGUCGCCGCCGCGCCGGCGCCGGCCGUCGCCAUCCCCGCUUCGCCGCGGACCGGGCUACAGGGAGCGCGUGCCCAGCCGCAGCAGGUCCCCUUAUCGCCCCUCCUAUAGAAGGAAGAGCCCUUCACCUUCCUCUCCCAGGAGGCGCAGGAGUCCAUCCCCAUCAAAAAGCCAUUACAAAAGAAAGAGAAGUCCGAGUGUCACUGGUUCUCCAGUUGCCAAAGCAAGUCCCCAUCUUGGAUCUACAGAGAAUAAGAAUGCCGUUGAUAAGCAAAGGCUAGAAGAAGAAAAGAAAAGGCGUCAAAAAGAAGUUGAACUAAGGCUAUUAGAGGAGGAAACUACAAAAAGAGUUGAGCAAGCUAUUAGGAAACAAGUUGAGGAUAGUUUGAAUUCUGAGGAAAUCAAACAUGAAAUACAGCGUCGAAUUGAUGAAGGGCGGAAAAGGAUACAUGAGGAGGUUGCUGCCCAAAUUGACAAAGAGAAGGUGUCUGCCUUGGUUGAAGCCCAGCAGAGAGCGGAACGUGAGAAGAAAGAGCGAGAAGAGCUAGAGAAGAAGCUCGAAGAGGAGCGAAAGAAAGCAGAGGAGGCUCAGAUGAUGGUAGCCAUGGAGCAGCAGCAGAAAGAGCUGGAGCGGUACCAGGAGCUGGAGAGGCUUCAGAAGGAGAGGGAGGAAGCCAUGAAGCAGAAGCAAAUGGAGGAGCAGCAGCAGAAGCAGAACCAGAUUAAGCUGCUGGGCAAGAACAAGUCGCGACCAAAGCUGUCGUUCUCUCUUGGGAUGAAGUAG
RNAcentral lists this ribosomal RNA (801 nucleotides) under Triticum aestivum (bread wheat). Its description in RNAcentral is "partial small subunit ribosomal RNA". The record is from RNAcentral. Lineage: Eukaryota; Viridiplantae; Streptophyta; Magnoliopsida; Poales; Poaceae.